GACGUAGGGCGCGAGCGUUGUCCGGAUUUAUUGGGCGUAAAGAGCUCGUAGGCGGCUUGUCGCGUCGACUGUGAAAACCCGCGGCUCAACCGUGUGGUCUGCAGUCGAUACGGGCAGGCUAGAGUUCGGUAGGGGAGACUGGAAUUCCUGGUGUAGCGGUGAAAUGCGCAGAUAUCAGGAGGAACACCGGUGGCGAAGGCGGGGUCUC
Molecule: ribosomal RNA, 208 nt
Filed under: uncultured bacterium
Lineage: Bacteria
Description: partial 16S ribosomal RNA
Rfam family: Bacterial small subunit ribosomal RNA
Source: RNAcentral